Molecule: ribosomal RNA, 372 nt
Filed under: uncultured bacterium
Lineage: Bacteria
Description: bacterial SSU rRNA
Rfam family: Bacterial small subunit ribosomal RNA
Source: RNAcentral
UCUGGAGGAUAGCCUUUCGAAAGGAAGAUUAAUACUCCAUAAUAUAUUGAUUGGCAUCAAUUGAUAUUGAAAGCUCCGGCGGAUAGAGAUGGGCACGCGCAAGAUUAGUUAGUUGGUGAGGUAACGGCUCACCAAGACGAUGAUCUUUAGGGGCCUGAGAGGGUGAUCCCCCACACUGGUACUGAGACACGGACCAGACUCCUACGGGAGGCAGCAGUGAGGAAUAUUGGUCAAUGGGUGCAAGCCUGAACCAGCCAUCCCGCGUGAAGGACGACUGCCCUAUGGGUUGUAAACUUCUUUUGUAUAGGGAUAAACCUACCCUCGUGAGGGUAGCUGAAGGUACUAUACGAAUAAGCACCGGCUAACUCCGUG